RNAcentral lists this long non-coding RNA (264 nucleotides) under Elaeis guineensis (African oil palm). RNAcentral's name for it is "long non-coding RNA (EGUI_LNC080699)". The record is from RNAcentral. Lineage: Eukaryota; Viridiplantae; Streptophyta; Magnoliopsida; Arecales; Arecaceae.
UCCGCAUUCUUUUGUAGGAAAUCAACGAACUGCGUCCGUACCUCUUCCCCCAGGUUGGAGCCGAUCUUCACCACAUGCUCUGUACUCCCAUCAUUCAAGGGGAUCGAAACCAGAUCUUCCAUUGGCCCGCCCCUUUCUUCAGCGAGGUCAUCGCGGGCGUCCAAUCCAUCAACCGGACAGAGGUCAGAUUGGUCACUUCUUUGCAAGGCUAUGUUGUAGCAGUGUCUAGCCAGGGCUUGAUCUCCCUUGACUUCUCCGACCCCC